Molecule: long non-coding RNA, 561 nt
Organism: Alligator mississippiensis (American alligator)
Lineage: Eukaryota; Metazoa; Chordata; Crocodylia; Alligatoridae
Exons: 2
Source: RefSeq, a predicted model, not a curated record
CAAGAACAGCUAGCCUAUGAUUUAGCUCUUCUUCAUCUUCGAAUACUCCAAAUGGCUUCAUUGCUUCAGUUAAUUUCUGCGUGUGAAUAUAAUCUAUUUCCUUAGGAGGAGCCAAGCUAAUUGGAGAUGUUAUUCCAUAAUGCCUUUGAGGCUGGUUCUCCAGCCUAGAGUUCCCGCACGUCUCCUUCAUGGCCGCCGCUCACGUGACGCCGGCGCACCCUUCGCUCGGCACCAUGGUGUAGCAUUCUUCCUGCCCAGGUUUACCACCAUUUUUCUUUUCUUUGGGUUCUCCCUUGAUCCAGUGUGCAAGAAGGGAAGCCUGAAUCUGCUUCAGAAAGUUUUGCUUCUAACCUUUGUCGGAUCCUGCAUUUCUCUGUAGGCAGGCAUAUAUACUACUGUUUUCAGCAAAUCAGAACUUUGACAUUCUGUCUGUCUGAAAUCUCUUUCAAAAGAUAUUCUCUAUCCUAAACUCUUGUGUCAUAGUCUGUCCCCAGAAAAACAGCUGCUAUGUUACCUUUUCCAUCCAACUGCACACUAAUAAUAAAAGAUGCAAUCACUGUG